RNAcentral lists this ribosomal RNA (264 nucleotides) under Oxyrrhis marina. RNAcentral's name for it is "partial Bacterial small subunit ribosomal RNA". It matches the Rfam family "Bacterial small subunit ribosomal RNA", at positions 14 to 280 of the family's 1533-position model. Lineage: Eukaryota; Dinophyceae; Oxyrrhinales; Oxyrrhinaceae. The record is from RNAcentral.
UGAUCAUGGCUCAGAUUGAACGCUGGCGGCAGGCCUAACACAUGCAAGUCGAGCGGAUGAAGUGAGCUUGCUCACGGAUUCAGCGGCGGACGGGUGAGUAAUGCCUAGGAAUCUGCCUGGUAGUGGGGGACAACGUUUCGAAAGGAACGCUAAUACCGCAUACGUCCUACGGGAGAAAGCAGGGGACCUUCGGGCCUUGCGCUAAAAGAUGAGCUCGCGUGAGAUUAGCUUGUUGGUGAGGUAAUGGCUCACCAAGGCGACGAU